UACGGAGGAUGCAAGCGUUAUCCGGAUUUAUUGGGUUUAAAGGGUGCGCAGGUUGUUUAAUAAGUCAGUGGUGAAAGUCUGCCGCUUAACGGUAGGAUUGCCAUUGAUACUGUUGGACUUGAAUAUGGAUGAGGUAGGCGGAAUGUGUAGUGUAGCGGUGAAAUGCUUAGAUAUUACACAGAACACCGAUUGCGAAGGCAGCUUACUAAUCCAUGAUUGACGCUGAGGCACGAAAGCGUGGGGAUCAAACAGGAUUA
RNAcentral lists this ribosomal RNA (257 nucleotides) under uncultured prokaryote. RNAcentral describes it as "partial 16S ribosomal RNA". It matches the Rfam family "Bacterial small subunit ribosomal RNA", at positions 524 to 780 of the family's 1533-position model. The record is from RNAcentral.